This 432-nucleotide ribosomal RNA is filed under the name uncultured bacterium. RNAcentral describes it as "partial 16S ribosomal RNA". It matches the Rfam family "Bacterial small subunit ribosomal RNA", at positions 28 to 506 of the family's 1533-position model. The record is from RNAcentral.
GACGAACGCUGGCGGCAUGCUUAACACAUGCAAGUCGAACGAGACCUUCGGGUCUAGUGGCGGAGGGGUGCGUAACGCGUGGGAAGUUGCACUUAGGUUCGGAAUCACUCACCGUAAGGGGAGCUCAUAACGCUUAAUGUCAUCGGACCAAAGAGUUUUCGCUUGUGGAUGGGGCCGGGUUGGAUUAGCCGGUUGGUAGGGGACAAGCCUACCAUGGCGACGAUCCGUAGCUGGUCUGAGAGGAGGAACAGCCACACUGGGACUGAGACACGGCCCAGACUGCUACCAGAGGCAGCAGUGGGUAAUAUUUGACAGGGAGCGAAAGCCAGAACCAGCAAUGCCGCGUGAGUGAUGAAGGGCUUAGAGUUGUAAAUCGCUUUUACCCGAGAUGAUAAUGACAGUACCGGUAGAAGAAGCGCCGGCGAACUCCGU